AGUAGUAAAAUUAAAAUUGCAAAAUAAAUACAGGAUUGAAGAGAAAACUGCGGAUUAUUUGUUCACACAGUGCGCAUUCACCAAAUUUCUUUUAGUGUAGCUAAGAGACGACUUUAACUUCAUAUGGGAUAGGUGGAAGGGUGGGAUAGGUUUGCAGACUAUGAAUAACAAACUAACUGAAGCAGUAAUCUGCUGAUGGGUAGUUUGGAAGGUUAGGAACGAUAUAAUGUUUAGAAAGAUGCAGUCGGGCUCAUUGCUAGCAGUCCACAAGAUUAAGCAGUUUGACAAAGUUUUGGAAACACCUUUUCUCAACAAAGCAGAUCCCCUGCUAACCGGGAUUUUUUUUUUUUUUUUUUUUGGUAAGCCCUCGAGGCCCGAGAUGCAUCAUUUUGUAGUCUAGUUUAUCAUUUCAAUAAAUAAAAUAGAUAGUUUUUUUUUUCUCAAAAAAAUUACAGAAUAAACUAUAAAAAAUAAAAUUUACCGAAAUACAAAUUCAUUCAAUUUUUUUUUU
This 511-nucleotide long non-coding RNA is filed under the name Ananas comosus (pineapple). RNAcentral describes it as "long non-coding RNA (ACOM_LNC006322)". The record is from RNAcentral. Lineage: Eukaryota; Viridiplantae; Streptophyta; Magnoliopsida; Poales; Bromeliaceae.